AUGUCCCCAUAAGUCCGUCUGACAUAGAAUGAUAUUUAUUCUCAUAUAUAUAAAAGGAAAGAAUAAAUAUCAUUCUAUGUCAGACGGACUUGUGGGGACAU
Molecule: non-coding RNA, 101 nt
Organism: Pelobates cultripes (western spadefoot toad)
Lineage: Eukaryota; Metazoa; Chordata; Amphibia; Anura; Pelobatidae
Source: the annotation of a GenBank genome assembly